RNAcentral lists this ribosomal RNA (697 nucleotides) under Salmonella enterica subsp. enterica serovar Kentucky. RNAcentral's name for it is "partial 23S ribosomal RNA". It matches the Rfam family "Bacterial large subunit ribosomal RNA", at positions 619 to 1315 of the family's 2925-position model. Lineage: Bacteria; Pseudomonadati; Pseudomonadota; Gammaproteobacteria; Enterobacterales; Enterobacteriaceae. The record is from RNAcentral.
GUCAGCGACUUAUAUUCUGUAGCAAGGUUAACCGUAUAGGGGAGCCGAAGGGAAACCGAGUCUUAACUGGGCGUUAAGUUGCAGGGUAUAGACCCGAAACCCGGUGAUCUAGCCAUGGGCAGGUUGAAGGUUGGGUAACACUAACUGGAGGACCGAACCGACUAAUGUUGAAAAAUUAGCGGAUGACUUGUGGCUGGGGGUGAAAGGCCAAUCAAACCGGGAGAUAGCUGGUUCUCCCCGAAAGCUAUUUAGGUAGCGCCUCGUGAACUCAUCUUCGGGGGUAGAGCACUGUUUCGGCUAGGGGGUCAUCCCGACUUACCAACCCGAUGCAAACUGCGAAUACCGAAGAAUGUUAUCACGGGAGACACACGGCGGGUGCUAACGUCCGUCGUGAAGAGGGAAACAACCCAGACCGCCAGCUAAGGUCCCAAAGUCACAGUUAAGUGGGAAACGAUGUGGGAAGGCUCAGACAGCCAGGAUGUUGGCUUAGAAGCAGCCAUCAUUUAAAGAAAGCGUAAUAGCUCACUGGUCGAGUCGGCCUGCGCGGAAGAUGUAACGGGGCUAAACUGUGCACCGAAGCUGCGGCAGCGACGCUUAUGCGUUGUUGGGUAGGGGAGCGUUCUGUAAGCCUGCGAAGGUGUCCUGUGAGGGAUGCUGGAGGUAUCAGAAGUGCGAAUGCUGACAUAAGUAACGAUAA